RNAcentral lists this ribosomal RNA (465 nucleotides) under uncultured bacterium. RNAcentral's name for it is "partial 16S ribosomal RNA". It matches the Rfam family "Bacterial small subunit ribosomal RNA", at positions 28 to 507 of the family's 1533-position model. The record is from RNAcentral.
GACGAACGCUGGCGGCGUGCUUAACACAUGCAAGUCGAACGGAAAGGCCCCUUUGGGGGUGCUCGAGUGGCGAACGGGGGAGUAACACGUGAGUAACCUGCCCUUGCCUUCGGGAUAACUUCAGGCAACUGGGGCUAAUACAGGACAGGAAUCCUUGCUGCAUGGUGGGGGUGGGAAAGCUUCGGCGGUUUUGGAUGGACUCGCGGCUUUUCAGCUUGCUGGUGGGGUAGGGGCUUACCAAGGAUUUGACGGGUAGGCGGCCUGAGAGGGCGACCGGCCACAUUGGGUCCUGGGCUACGCCCAGACUCCUACGGGGAGCAGCAGGGGGGAAGUUUUCACAAUGGGCCGGAGCCUGAUGCAGCAAACCCGCGGGCGGGAUGGCGGCCUUCGGGUUGUGAACCGCUUUCAGCAGGGGCGGAGCUUGUGGUGACGGUACCUGCUGAAGAAGCACCGGCUAACUACGUG